This 352-nucleotide unclassified non-coding RNA is filed under the name soil metagenome. RNAcentral describes it as "partial contains 5.8S ribosomal RNA, internal transcribed spacer 2, and large subunit ribosomal RNA". The stretch from base 1 to 120 matches the Rfam family "5.8S ribosomal RNA", at positions 35 to 154 of the family's 154-position model. The record is from RNAcentral.
GAUGAAGAACGUAGCGAAAUGCGAUAAGUAAUGUGAAUUGCAGAAUUCAGUGAAUCAUCGAAUCUUUGAACGCACAUUGCGCCCGCCAGUAUUCUGGCGGGCAUGCCUGUUCGAGCGUCAUUACAACCCUCAGGCCCCCGGGCCUGGCGUUGGGGAUCGGCGGAAGCCCCCUGCGGGCACAACGCCGUCCCCCAAAUACAGUGGCGGUCCCGCCGCAGCUUCCAUUGCGUAGUAGUAAAACCCUCGUUACUGGUAAUCGUCGCGGCCACGCCGUUAAACCCCAACUUCUGAAUGUUGACCUCGGAUCAGGUAGGAAUACCCGCUGAACUUAAGCAUAUCAAUAAGCGGAGGA